This is a long non-coding RNA of Labeo rohita (rohu), 343 nucleotides long. RefSeq lists it as uncharacterized. Lineage: Eukaryota; Metazoa; Chordata; Actinopteri; Cypriniformes; Cyprinidae. The record is from RefSeq and is a predicted model, not a curated record. The transcript is spliced from 4 exons.
AGAUGACCUGAAAGACCUCUGCCAUUUUUGUGGGGAACAGGACAAUGGAAUUGACUGGAUUACAAAGAACACAAGAGUGUGCUUGAAACAUUUCUCUCCGGAAUGUUUUUUAAGAACAUUAACUGGAAUUAGGAAGCUAAAGGAAGGUUCAGUUCCGUCCGUGUUUACCUGGACUCAGCUGUCUUACAAAAGGAAAACCUUGCGAUCACAAGGAAAAUGUCAUUUAGAGGAAGAACAUGUGGAAGAAUGUGAGGAAGAUGAAAGAUAUGCUGCGAUGAAUGCCCUCGGUGGUUUCACUGCGACUGUAUCAACACACCACCAACGAUAGAGAGCUUCAUCUGCC